This 1338-nucleotide ribosomal RNA is filed under the name uncultured bacterium. RNAcentral's name for it is "bacterial SSU rRNA". It matches the Rfam family "Bacterial small subunit ribosomal RNA", at positions 28 to 1382 of the family's 1533-position model. The record is from RNAcentral.
GACGAACGCUCGGCGGCGCGCCUAACACAAGCAAGUCGAACGGAGCUGAGAGAAGCUUGCUUUUCUUAGCUUAGUGGCGAACGGGUGAGUAACGCGUGAGUAACCUGCCCUGGAGUGGGGGACAACAGUUGGAAACGACUGCUAAUACCGCAUAAGCCCACGAUCCGGCAUCGGAUUGAGGGAAAAGGAUUUAUUCGCUUCAGGAUGGACUCGCGUCCAAUUAGCUAGUUGGUGAGGUAACGGCCCACCAAGGCGACGAUUGGUAGCCGGACUGAGAGGUUGAACGGCCACAUUGGGACUGAGACACGGCCCAGACUCCUACGGGAGGCAGCAGUGGGGGAUAUUGCACAAUGGGGGGAAACCCUGAUGCAGCGACGCCGCGUGGAGGAAGAAGGUUUUCGGAUUGUAAACUCCUGUCGUUAGGGACGAUAAUGACGGUACCUAACAAGAAAGCACCGGCUAACUACGUGCCAGCAGCCGCGGUAAAACGUAGGGUGCAAGCGUUGUCCGGAAUUACUGGGUGUAAAGGGAGCGCAGGCGGACCGGCAAGUUGGAAGUGAAAACUAUGGGCUCAACCCAUAAAUUGCUUUCAAAACUGCUGGCCUUGAGUAGUGCAGAGGUAGGUGGAAUUCCCGGUGUAGCGGUGGAAUGCGUAGAUAUCGGGAGGAACACCAGUGGCGAAGGCGACCUACUGGGCACCAACUGACGCUGAGGCUCGAAAGCAUGGGUAGCAAACAGGAUUAGAUACCCUGGUAGUCCAUGCCGUAAACGAUGAUUACUAGGUGUUGGAGGAUUGACCCCUUCAGUGCCGCAGUUAACACAAUAAGUAAUCCACCUGGGGAGUACGACCGCAAGGUUGAAACUCAAAGGAAUUGACGGGGGCCCGCACAAGCAGUGGAGUAUGUGGUUUAAUUCGAAGCAACGCGAAGAACCUUACCAGGUCUUGACAUCCGAUGCAUAGCUUAGAGAUAAGUGAAGUCCUUCGGGACAUCGAGACAGGUGGUGCAUGGUUGUCGUCAGCUCGUGUCGUGAGAUGUUGGGUUAAGUCCCGCAACGAGCGCAACCCUUAUUGCCAGUUACUACGCAAGAGGACUCUGGCGAGACUGCCGUUGACAAAACGGAGGAAGGUGGGGAUGACGUCAAAUCAUCAUGCCCUUUAUGACCUGGGCUACACACGUACUACAAUGGCGUUUAACAAAGAGAAGCAAGACCGCGAGGUGGAGCAAAACUCAAAAACAACGUCUCAGUUCAGAUUGCAGGCUGCAACUCGCCUGCAUGAAGUCGGAAUUGCUAGUAAUCGCGGAUCAGCAUGCCGCGGUGAAUACGUUCCCGGGCCUU